AGAGUUUGAUCCUGGCUCAGGAUGAACGCUGGCGGCAUGCCUAAUACAUGCAAGUCGAACGAAGUUUCGAGGAAGCUUGCUUCCAAAGAGACUUAGUGGCGAACGGGUGAGUAACACGUAGGUAACCUGCCCAUGUGUCCGGGAUAACUGCUGGAAACGGUAGCUAAAACCGGAUAGGUAUACRGAGCGCAUGCUCUGUAUAUUAAAGCGCCCAUCAAGGCGUGAACAUGGAUGGACCUGCGGCGCAUUAGCUAGUUGGUGAGGUAACGGCCCACCAAGGCGAUGAUGCGUAGCCGGCCUGAGAGGGUAAACGGCCACAUUGGGACUGAGACACGGCCCAAACUCCUACGGGAGGCAGCAGUAGGGAAUUUUCGUCAAUGGGGGAAACCCUGAACGAGCAAUGCCGCGUGAGUGAAGAAGGUCUUCGGAUCGUAAAGCUCUGUUGUAAGUGAAGAACGGCUCAUAGAGGAAAUGCUUAUGGGAGUGACGGUAGCUUACCAGAAAGCCACGGCUAACUACGUGCCAGCAGCCGCGGU
This 536-nucleotide ribosomal RNA is filed under the name Clostridium sp. A7-25. Its description in RNAcentral is "bacterial SSU rRNA". It matches the Rfam family "Bacterial small subunit ribosomal RNA", at positions 8 to 521 of the family's 1533-position model. The record is from RNAcentral. Lineage: Bacteria; Bacillati; Bacillota; Clostridia; Eubacteriales; Clostridiaceae.